RNAcentral lists this transfer RNA (74 nucleotides) under Candidatus Dojkabacteria bacterium. Its description in RNAcentral is "tRNA-Trp". It matches the Rfam family "tRNA". Rfam says of the family: Transfer RNA (tRNA) molecules are approximately 80 nucleotides in length. Their secondary structure includes four short double-helical elements and three loops (D, anti-codon, and T loops). The record is from RNAcentral.
GAGUGGAUAGUUCAAUGGUAGAACAUCUGUCUCCAAAACAGAAGAUAUCAGUUCAAGUCUGAUUCCGCUCACCA